RNAcentral lists this ribosomal RNA (399 nucleotides) under uncultured bacterium. RNAcentral's name for it is "partial 16S ribosomal RNA". It matches the Rfam family "Bacterial small subunit ribosomal RNA", at positions 338 to 754 of the family's 1533-position model. The record is from RNAcentral.
CCUACGGGUGGCAGCAGUGGGGAAUAGUGCACAAUGGGGGAAACCCUGAUGCAGCGACGCCGCGUGAGUGAAGAAGGAUUUCGGGAUGUAAAGCUCUAUCAGCAGGGAAGAAAAUGACGGUACGUGACUAAGAAGCCCCGGCUAACUACGUGCCAGCAGCCGCGGGAAUACGUAGGGGGCAAGCGUUAUCCGGAUGUACGGGGUGGAAAGGGAGCGUAGACGGCCAGACAAGUCAGAAGUGAAAACCCGCGGCUCAACUGCGGGAGUGCUUUUGAAACUUUUUGGGUGGAGUGCAGGAGAGGUGAGUGCAAUUCCUAGUGUAGCGGUGAAAUGCGUAGAUAUUAGGAGGAACACCAGUGGCGAAGGCGGCUUACUGGACUGUACCUGCCGUUGAGGCUC